CAUCACGAUGAUUUGCAAGCAACUCACUAUACUUUGGUGUCACACUAUUUGAGUUUAUAAUUUAGUGAUAGAAGAUUUCUGCUUGCAGUCAAGUACUUAUCAAGUCGGUGUAUGAGUCAAAAUGGGAUUGACCCCUCCAAAUUAGUAGAAGUUAAUGUAUCAAUGUAUUUCAAUUUAGUAAAACUUAAGCUUGGAUAAUCC
Molecule: long non-coding RNA, 201 nt
Filed under: Elaeis guineensis (African oil palm)
Lineage: Eukaryota; Viridiplantae; Streptophyta; Magnoliopsida; Arecales; Arecaceae
Description: long non-coding RNA (EGUI_LNC060432)
Source: RNAcentral